GACGAACGCUGGCGGCGUGCUUAACACAUGCAAGUCGAACGGAAAGGCCCUGCUUUUGUGGGGUGCUCGAGUGGCGAACGGGUGAGUAACACGUGAGUAACCUGCCCUUGACUGUGGGAUAACUUCAGGAAACUGGGGCUAAUACCGGAUAGGAGCUCCUGCUGCAUGGUGGGGGUUGGAAAGUUUCGGCGGUUGGGGAUGGACUCGCGGCUUAUCAGCUUGUUGGUGGGGUAGUGGCUUACCAAGGCUUUGACGGGUAGCCGGCCUGGGCGGGUGACCGGCCACAUUGGGACUGAGAUACGGCCCAGACUCCUACGUGAGGCAGCAGUGGCGAAUAUUGCACAAUGGGCGGAAGCCUGAUGCAGCAACGCCGCGUGCGGGAUGACGGCCUUCGGGUUGUAAACCGCUUUCGCCUGUGACGAAGCGUGAGUGACGGUAAUGGGUAAAGAAGCACCGGCUAACUACGUG
Molecule: ribosomal RNA, 468 nt
Filed under: uncultured bacterium
Lineage: Bacteria
Description: partial 16S ribosomal RNA
Rfam family: Bacterial small subunit ribosomal RNA
Source: RNAcentral